AAGCAUACUUCGAUUGAAUGGUUUAAUUAGAUAUUAAUAUAUUGUAUUGGUAUUCCAAAAGUUACGAGUUGAAUUUGUGGUUGAAUGAGAUAAAAAUUUUAUAUCAACGCAAACUUUUCUCAUCUCUUAAGAUUAAAGUCACCGAUUUAAUCAAAAUGUCUCAUCUGUCUCCACUAAUGGACAACUCAGGCUCUUACAAUCUCUUCAAUCUCUGCCAUCGGAUUAUUCGCUGGAAUAAUUAUCGCCGUCAGAGUAGCUGAUCGGCAUCCCAGUGAUCUGGCGCGGAUGACUUUCUACUUUGGUGAACCAACGGUCAUAAUUCUGCAAAUACCGGUUUUUAGCCAAACCGUUUUGAGCUAGCAUCGUUUCCACUUAAAAAACUUCUUCACUUGAUCCUCCUCCAAACACUGUGAAACUGAAGGAGUUCGUUCUUUCGCAGAUGGCUAGGAACUACAUGAGAGACAACGUGCCUUUCUCACGAUUCGGCAUAUUGGUGGCUCAGCUAGAGUCUACAUAUGAACUUAAUCAGAGAGUUAAGACUGCUUCUGUUGUGGGUGGCACUGGAUAUGUCGCAUCUUUGCUCAUCAAGUUAUUACUUCAGAAGGGGUAUUCUGUCAAUACUACCGUCAGAGACCCAGGAUGUUAUGGAAGAGAAGUGUGGCUCUGCAGCCAUCUGUUUUGUUUCUUUCCUUCUUGAAAUUUUGGACUCCAAAGCUGAUGGGAGAAAUAAGUAACCUUGAGAUGAUGUUAGCAGUUGCAGAGAAGCUCAAGAGGAGUCCUUACAGCAACUAUGUUUGGGCAGCUGCUGGUAAGCAGCCAGAUCUUGAAAAGCAUGUAGGUGUCUGUUUGGGCAGCGCUUAUAUCUGAUGAACUCUAUGAGGAUCUCAAAGAACAGUGCAACGAGAACUAUGUGAAUAUAGAACCAACCAAUGCAAAAUGUGUAGCUGCUUAUGAAGUUUACAAAAAAGAAAGAUGAUUAGCAGUUUAGUUCCUAUUAAAAACAAAUAAUUUUCUUCAAGCUUCCCAGAAAUGACUGAUUAAUUUUAUUUUUAUAAUUGCAGUGCGUUAAAGGUUUAUUUCGCAAUGAUAUUUUGGAAC
Long non-coding RNA from Pistacia vera, 1098 nucleotides. RefSeq lists it as uncharacterized. Lineage: Eukaryota; Viridiplantae; Streptophyta; Magnoliopsida; Sapindales; Anacardiaceae. The record is from RefSeq and is a predicted model, not a curated record. The transcript has 6 exons.